Molecule: ribosomal RNA, 262 nt
Filed under: uncultured prokaryote
Description: partial 16S ribosomal RNA
Rfam family: Bacterial small subunit ribosomal RNA
Source: RNAcentral
GGACCCGCACAAGCGGUGGAGCAUGUGGUUUAAUUCGAAGCAACGCGAAGAACCUUACCAAAUCUUGACAUCCUCUGACCCCUCUAGAGAUAGAGUUUUCCCCUUCGGGGGACAGAGUGACAGGUGGUGCAUGGUUGUCGUCAGCUCGUGUCGUGAGAUGUUGGGUUAAGUCCCGCAACGAGCGCAACCCUUAAGCUUAGUUGCCAUCAUUAAGUUGGGCACUCUAAGUUGACUGCCGGUGACAAACCGGAGGAAGGUGGGG